RNAcentral lists this transfer RNA (59 nucleotides) under Ictidomys tridecemlineatus (thirteen-lined ground squirrel). RNAcentral's name for it is "Spermophilus tridecemlineatus (thirteen-lined ground squirrel) tRNA". It matches the Rfam family "tRNA", at positions 7 to 64 of the family's 71-position model. From Rfam's summary of the family: Transfer RNA (tRNA) molecules are approximately 80 nucleotides in length. The record is from Rfam by way of RNAcentral. Lineage: Eukaryota; Metazoa; Chordata; Mammalia; Rodentia; Sciuridae.
GUUGCUCAGUGGUAGAGUGCUUGCCUGGCAAGUAUGAGGCCCUGGGUUCAAUCCCCAGC